UUUAUUGGAGAGUUUGAUCCUGGCUCAGGAUGAACGCUGGCGGCGUGCCUAAUACAUGCAAGUCGAGCGAAUGGAUUAAGAGCUUGCUCUUAUGAAGUUAGCGGCGGACGGGUGAGUAACACGUGGGUAACCUGCCCAUAAGACUGGGAUAACUCCGGGAAACCGGGGCUAAUACCGGAUAAUAUUUUGAACUGCAUGGUUCGAAAUUGAAAGGCGGCUUCGGCUGUCACUUAUGGAUGGACCCGCGUCGCAUUAGCUAGUUGGUGAGGUAACGGCU
This 277-nucleotide ribosomal RNA is filed under the name Bacillus thuringiensis serovar aizawai. RNAcentral describes it as "partial 16S ribosomal RNA". It matches the Rfam family "Bacterial small subunit ribosomal RNA", at positions 1 to 265 of the family's 1533-position model. Lineage: Bacteria; Bacillati; Bacillota; Bacilli; Caryophanales; Bacillaceae. The record is from RNAcentral.